GGGAGUAUAGCUUAGUGGUAGAGCGCAUGCUUGGUAUGUACAAGGUCCUGGGUUCCCCAGCACUCCCA
This 68-nucleotide transfer RNA is filed under the name Camelus bactrianus (Bactrian camel). It matches the Rfam family "tRNA". Rfam says of the family: Transfer RNA (tRNA) molecules are approximately 80 nucleotides in length. Their secondary structure includes four short double-helical elements and three loops (D, anti-codon, and T loops). Further hydrogen bonds mediate the characteristic L-shaped molecular structure. tRNAs have two regions of fundamental functional importance: the anti-codon, which is responsible for specific mRNA codon recognition, and the 3' end, to which the tRNAs corresponding amino acid is attached (by aminoacyl-tRNA synthetases). tRNAs cope with the degeneracy of the genetic code in two manners: having more than one tRNA (with a specific anti-codon) for a particular amino acid; and 'wobble' base-pairing, i.e. permitting non-standard base-pairing at the 3rd anti-codon position. The record is from Rfam by way of RNAcentral. RNAcentral also lists the same sequence under 2 other names. Lineage: Eukaryota; Metazoa; Chordata; Mammalia; Artiodactyla; Camelidae.